GACGGGGGGGGCAAGUGUUCUUCGGAAUGACUGGGCGGAAAGGGCGUGUAGGCGGUCGGUCAAGUCUGGUGUGAAAGCCCGGGGCUCAGCUCCGGAAGUGCAUCGGAAACUAGCUGGCUGGAGCGCGAUAGAGGAGGGCGGAAUUCCUGGUGUAGCGGUGAAAUGCGUAGAUAUCAGGAGGAACACCGGCGGCGAAGGCGGCCCUCUGGAUCGUUGCUGACGCUGAGACGCGAAAGCGUGGGGAGCAAACAGG
Molecule: ribosomal RNA, 253 nt
Filed under: uncultured bacterium
Lineage: Bacteria
Description: partial 16S ribosomal RNA
Rfam family: Bacterial small subunit ribosomal RNA
Source: RNAcentral